UUGAAGAAUGUUUCUAAGCCCAUUUUUGCCAUCUAGAAAACAAGAUGCAUGACAUUAAUCUGUGAUCCCUCAAACACUAUGGUGAAAUAAAUAGAAUGAGAAAUGGUGGGAAGAGGCCUAGUUGCCAUCACAGAAAAUGGAUGCUAAGUGGAGAUGGAUUGGACCUUAAAUAUCACAAUUGCAUCCCAGGACCUGGUUCUUAAUUUUAAGUCACAGAAAGUCACUCUUGUUUGAGACCAGGGAAUGUCAUGCCUUAGCUCCCUCUAACUAAACACCCACAAAAACCAAGUUAAAGACUAUAAUGCCAAUUUAGGAUUGUUAUGUCAUCCAAGUAAGCACUGUGCAUGUGUUCUUCCAUCACUGAACCAGGACAAGUCCCUUGGGCCAAGACCCCCUUCCCAAUGAGAUCACCCUCACUUGAGCACCUCCACAGUGACAAUCUGGAACCAUCACUGCCCCUACACAAUCACACAGGAGACUGAAGUUGCUAUCACAAUGCCAAUGAAUUAAUUUACAAUUAGACAUAUAGGAUGAGUACUUGCAGAAUGAGCACCUUCUUUCAGGUGCAUGGGAAUUUAAUUAUAACCACAAGCCAUUUCUUAUAUCAUAGACAGCCCGUUUCCUAGGACAUAAUGUAUUUAAAAUCUGGGAGAUCAGACAUUUUCUCCAUACUAGGCAAACCUACACUGAGGACCCAAAUCCUAACUAGAGAUUUUGGGCAUGGAAAUGGAAUAAAAGAGGUUAUGCUUAUAGCAAGGGGUAAAAUGAUCUUGUAAUAUACGUCCAUCUUACCCAGGGAAGACUUUAUACCCCUAAAAUUCUUUGGCCAUGCCCCAGGAGCCUUACCAUUGGAAGUAGAAAUACACAUUGUCCAAUACCCAAAUCCCUUUCCCCCCAAAACUGCCCAGGAUAUCUGUGUGUGAGUCUGCUUCCACACGGGACUGAUUCCUCUCCCUACCCCUUUCCUCAGCACCUUCUUGCUUUCUUUCCUCAGACAUGUUUAAUCAAGUUACAAUCUAGACAGGUAACCUGGGAAGCUAUAUUCUCUCUUGCACGGACUUGCUUAUUUAUGGUCAGAUCCAUUCUGUGUGGAUUUCAGAAUUAAGUUCUGAGGGAAAUUCUUACUUUCUGUGUUUGCUGUAAAUCUCAAACACUAAUCACUGAAUAAGCAGCUUAUGACUUUGCUGCCAUGCUGGGCUAGCCAAGCCCUCUGUGAAAUGCGCUGUUCAAGUGGGAGGCAAGGCGGUUGCUCCCACUGGUUCCCUCAUAGGCUUAACAUGAAUUGGUUGUGUUUGUUUCCAAAUCUAUUUAUCCCAAACCAGGUAUUGUAAUUUUAUAGUUUAAUUAAAUUUAAAAACAUAAAACAUGAGUUUAAAAAGAAAAUUCUUUGGGCACCUGAGUGACUCAGUGGUUGAGCGUCUGCCUUUAGCUCAGGUCGUGAUCCCAGGAUCCUCAGAUUGAGCCCCACAUCAGGCUCCCAGCUCGGUGGGGAGCCUGCUUCUCCCUCUGUCUCUGCCUCUGCCUCUGCUCCAGCUUGUGCUUGCCCUCUGUCACUCUUGCAAAUAAAUAAAUAAAAUCUUUUUUAAAAAAUUGAAUAUUAAUAAGUAAAUUUAAUGUUACACUUUAAUAUUAAAGUACAUUUGUUAAGAAGUGUACUUCCAUGGAUGGCAGCCAUCAUUAUUAUCCUAUUGUUGUUAUCACUCAUACUGCAUACUGCAUCACUCUCAUCUAACUCAGUUGGGACUCAGGGUAUCAAAAAUAUCAGUUAGAGCAAGGAAUCCUAGAAAUCAAUAGAUGCAUACUUGGUACAAACAUUUUCUUGUCUAUUAGAAUACAUAAACACACAUCUUCUCCAGGUCUUUUGAUACAGGGACAGUAUCAUUCAUUUUAAUAUGGCUUCCUGUUGGUCUCAUGCAUAAAGCACACCCAUAGGGUUUUGUCCACAAUCUCCAGUUUCCAGUGUCUUUAGUGUGGUGCAAAUUCAAAGAUAGCUGUAGGCCAAUCUGGGUGCAAAGCCCUACAUUUUUAUAACCUUCUCCAAUAUUUGUCAUUGUCUUAGUCAACAACAGAAUUAACUAUUCACCUGUAUUGAGUCUUCUCAAAGCUUUUAGCUGAGUUUUCAUAAAAGAAUUUUCUUUUACUUUUUAAAAAGAUUUUAUUUAUUUAUUAAUGAAAGACACAGAAAGAGAGACAGAGACAUAGGCAGAGAGAGAAGCAGUCUUUCUGUGAGGAUGCUUAACUGACUGAGCCACCCAGGCACCCCUUAAUAUGCAAUUCAAUUACAAAUUGUCUUCUAAAGCAAUGCAUAAACAAGUAGGCCUUCUUGCUCAAUAUUUCUCUUUUCUUUCUAAACUUCCCUUGGGAAGUCUAAGUUGUAGUAUCAACUCCAGGGAGUUUCUACUGUGAGUAUCAAAGUCACUGUUCUCUGAUCUUUCCCUGUGGCCAGGAGGUACUGCUUCAUUAAGAUGCAACCUUUGUUGGGCAGUAUGUGAGACACUGGUUUCCUUCGCACUUUUAGGUAUCAUCUUGAGUAAAACAAUUUCUUGCCUAAUCAGAUGAGCUUUUGCUUAAGGACUAUGUGAACCUAUUGCCUGGGUAUACACUAUAUUCAGAGAUGCUCAUUCUUUUUAAAAAAUUUUAAUUCCAGUAUAAUUAACAUACAGCAUUGUAUUAGUGUCAGGUGCACAAUAUAGUGAUUCAACAAUUCUAUCCAUUAUUCAGUACUUAUCAUGAUUAAGUGUACUCUUCUUAAUCCCCUUCACCUCUUUCACCCGUUCUUGUACCGACCUCCCUGCUGGUAUCCAUCAGUUUGUGCUCUAUUUAAGAGUCUGUUUUUUUUUUUGUCUGUGUCUUUUUUUCUUUGUUGCUUUGUUUUGUUUCUUAAAUUCAACAUAUGAGUGAAAUCAUAUGGUAUUUGUCAUUAUCUGACGGACUUAUUUCAAUUAACAUUAUACUCUUUAGACCUGUCUAUAUUGUUGGAAAUGGCAAGAUUUCCAUUCUUUUUUAUGACUUCUUUAUGUUCUUUUCUAUGACUAAGUAAUAUUCCAGUGUGUGUGUGUGUGUGUGUGUGUGUGUGUGUACCGCAUCUUCUUUAUGUAUUCAUCUAUUGGAUACUUGGACUAUUUCCAUAAUCUGGCUACUGUAAACAGUACUGCAAUAAACAUAGCAGUACAUAUAUCUCUUCAAUAUGCUCAUUGUCCUCCACAGAACUGCAUUUUGAAUCAGGAACUCCAAAGUCCUUGGUGACAGCGAGAUAAUGCUUCCUUUUCAGUUCUCACUCCUCCCAAUCCUUUUUAGUAAGUUUUCCCUGGUUCUACCUUUUGGCUCUGGGUCUUACUCUCUCCUCAAAGUCUGCAGGGGCAAGAGUGCCACUGAUUCCUACAUCUUUGAAUUGGAUUUCCAUCUCCUACCAACUCUGAUCUCUGGGAAGGUAAAAACCAAAGUUUAAAUACCUACCUGGGGACAUGACCUCAUAAGUUAGGGCUAAAGAAGCUCAAGUUAAUUUACAAAAUGCCAUGUGGAAACAUUAAUAAACUCACAAUUAUAGGAUUAGGGGAGGGGCACGAGAUAAUAUUAAUGUAGUCCUUUAAUAAUUUGCCAUAUUAAACUCAGAGUAUAUUUAUUUGAAGAAUGCCCGGGAAAAUAUACAAUGCUUGAAUUUAAUGUAAAUGAGACACUUAAUUGGAGAGACUGAAAAGGGCAUUUUAUAUUAGUUUUUAAAAUCAAUUUCCAUUAUUAAAUAGAAGCAUAGAAACAAACUGAAGAUAGUAUAGAUCAGGAUGUCUUUUUAUUUUUUUUUGCAAAAAAAGAAGGGUAUUGCUACUCAUAAUUACAAGAAAUGGAUGACAAUAUUUUAAAUGAGUUAACUUUGGCCCACUAUGCUCACUUCAUGGUGUGAAGAAAACAGCACUUGAGUGAUUUUUUCCUUAAUUUGUUCUAAAUUAUAGUAAAGUGCUCUGCAAGAAGCAAGUGCUUGUGUUAAUUAACUCUGAGUAAAGAAGGUCACUGGUAUACAUGGGACUCAUUUUGUGGUUUUUAGUUAUGGAUUUUCUUCUGCAAUUACAAUUCUUCAUUAUGCAUUAUGUAGCAUGUAGAUUUUCAAUUUUUUAUCUAGCAUUUCAAAUUUAGGCACAUUUGUUUAUUUCUCUCUUCAAAAUUUAAAAUGCAGCAACAAUAAUGGAAUUGACUUAAAUGGAACAUAUGGCUUGACAUAUUUAUAAAUAUACCUAAAAUAUUGGCCAUUUAUGUAAGCCUGAAUAUUACAGCUGAGGUUUUUUUUUUUUUGGUAUUUUAAAAAGUUUUAAUUCCAGCAUAAUUAAUAUACAGUGUUACAUUAGUUUCAGGCAUACAAUAUAGUGAUUCAGCAAUUCUAUUCAUUACUCAGUUCUCAUCAGGAUAAGUGUACUCU
RNAcentral lists this long non-coding RNA (4408 nucleotides) under Canis lupus familiaris (dog). Its description in RNAcentral is "lncRNA (ENSCAFG00845028898.1)". Lineage: Eukaryota; Metazoa; Chordata; Mammalia; Carnivora; Canidae. The record is from RNAcentral.